GGCAUCCCGCUCGGGUUGCCUUCCACACUGUGGGAGUUGUGUUGUUCUGCUCUUUGCUAUCAAUCUUGCUACUGCUUUUUGGGUCCACACUGCUUUUAUGAGCUGCAACACUCACUGGGAAGGUCUGCAGGUUCACUCCUGAAGUCAUUGAAACCACGAACCCACUGGGAGAAACAAAUAACUCCAGACGUGCCACCUUAAGAGCUGUAACACUCACCUGGAAGGCCUGUAGCUUCACUCCUGAGCCAGCGAGCCCACGAACCCCCCAGAAGGAAAAAACUCCGAACACAUGCGAACAUCAGAAGGAACAAACUCCGGACACGACGUCUUUAAGAACUGUAACACUCACCAUGAGGGUCUGCGGCUUCAUUCUUGAAGUCAGUGAGACCAAGAACCCACCAAUUCUGGACACACUGUAAUAUGUGUACUAUAUUCCUAUUUUACAAAUGAGACAAUUGAGGCCAGUUAAUUUGCUUGUCCCACAGAGAUUAUGUGGCAUGGCCAGACUCACUGAACCUGUGCGGCCUGAUGCCCAAAAUGCUAUUGUAACCACGAGUGAUACUGUCUUCUGGGAUAAGAGGUUCCCUUCCAAAUCAGGGGGUACCUGAUUGGUGUAAAAGCCUGUAACCCUUCAGAGGUGAGCACCAAAGUUUGACCAGGAGAUAAAUUGAAAAUCUGCUACAGUGGAGGCCAUCUGAUUUCUGUCAGAUAGAUCUUUAAGCUCACUGGCUGUUAAAAUUUGGUGUACAGUGGGUUACCCCUUACUGUAAGGGAAGAAAGGUAUAGUUUAAAGUGUGG
Molecule: long non-coding RNA, 798 nt
Filed under: Homo sapiens (human)
Lineage: Eukaryota; Metazoa; Chordata; Mammalia; Primates; Hominidae
Description: HSALNT0401294
Source: RNAcentral